This 425-nucleotide ribosomal RNA is filed under the name uncultured bacterium. RNAcentral describes it as "partial 16S ribosomal RNA". It matches the Rfam family "Bacterial small subunit ribosomal RNA", at positions 354 to 796 of the family's 1533-position model. The record is from RNAcentral.
GUGGAGAAUAUUGGACAAUGGGCGCAAGCCUGAUCCAGCCAUGCCGCGUGAGUGAUGAAGGCCCUAGGGUUGUAAAGCUCUUUCACCGGUGAAGAUAAUGACGGUAACCGGAGAAGAAGCCCCGGCUAACUUCGUGCCAGCAGCCGCGGUAAUACGAAGGGGGCUAGCGUUGUUCGGAAUUACUGGGCGUAAAGCGCACGUAGGCGGACAUUUAAGUCAGGGGUGAAAUCCCGGGGCUCAACCCCGGAACUGCCUUUGAUACUGGGUGUCUGGAGUAUGGAAGAGGUGAGUGGAACUCCUAGUGUAGAGGUGGAAUUCGUAGAUAUUAGGAAGAACACCAGUGGCGAAGGCGGCUCACUGGUCCGGUACUGACGCUGAGGUGCGAAAGCGUGGGGAACAAACAGGAUUAGAUACCCGUGUAGUCC